UCAGGCGUGGCUUUGAAGAGGAGCUGGCGCCUGCAGUUUUGUGUGCUGUGCUGUAAUUGCUGCUGCUGGGAGCUGAGUGGAGAGCUUGGGUGAGCUGUGAAACCACGACAUGGAUGCAGUGAUCUAUAAUGAUGUGCAUGUUGACUUCACUUGGGAAGAGUGGACUUUGCUGGAUCCUUCCCAGAAGAAUCUCUACAAAGAUGUGAUGCUGGAGACCUAUAGGAACCUCACUACUAUAGGAUAUAAUUGGGAAGACCAUAAUACUGAAGAACAUUGUCAUAAUAUUGAAGAACAUUGUCAAAGUUCUAGAAGACAUGAAAGGCAUGAAAGAAGUCAAGCUGAAGAGAAACCUUCUGCAUAUACUCAAUGCGUUAAAGCCUUUGCAUAUGACACUCAUCUUCAAUGGAAAGAAAGAACACAUACUGGAGAGAAACCUUAUGAAUGUAAUCAGUGUGGUAAAGCCUUUGCAAGUCACAGUUAUUUCCAAAUACAUAAAAGAAUACAUACUGGAGAGAAACCCUAUGAAUGUGAUCAGUGUGAUAAAGCCUUUGCACGUCACAAUAAUCUUUUAAUGCAUAAAAGAACACAUACUGGAGACAAACCCUAUGAAUGUGAUCAGUGUGGUAAAGCCUUUGCACGUCACAAUAAUCUUCUAAUGCAUAAAAGAACACAUACUGGAGACAAACCCUAUGAAUGUAAUCAGUGUGGUAAAGCGUUUGCAUUUCACACUUCUCUUCAACGGCAUGAAAGAACACAUACUGGAGAGAAGCCAUAUGAAUGUAAUCAAUGUGGUAAAGCCUUUGCACAACCCAGUAAUCUUCAAAUGCAUAAAAGAACACAUACUGGAGAGAAACCCUAUCAAUGUAAUCAAUGUGGUAAAGCCUUUUCACAUCUUGGUCAUCUUCAAAGGCAUGGAAGAACACAUACUGGAGAGAAACCCUAUGAAUGUAAUCAUUGUGGUAAAGCCUAUGCACAUCUUAGUACUCUUCAAAUGCAUCAAAGAUCACAUACUGGAGAGAAACCUUAUGAAUGUAAUCAGUGUGGUAAAGCCUUUGCACGUUGCAGUCAUCUUCAAAUGCAUCAAAGAACACAUACUGGAGAGAAACCCUAUGAAUGUAAUCAGUGUGGUAAAGCCUUUGCACAGCACAGUCAUCUUCAAAUGCAUCAAAGGACACAUAAUGGAGAGAAACCCUAUGAAUGUAAUCAGUGUGGUAAAGCUUUUGCAUGUAUCAGUAGUAUUCAAAGUCAUGUGAAAAAAUUACACUGCAGAGAAACCAUUUAAAUAUAGUCAAUGUGAUAAAGUUUUGCACUUUAUAUAAGAGUAAUAAUUCUUGUGUGCAAUCAGUCUGUUAAAGCCUUUGCAUAUUGCAAUAGUCUUUGAGUACCUGAAAAAAGUAUUUGGUAAGAUCUUUAGUCAACACACAUUCAGUUACACAAGUGUAUUUAUUCUGGAGAAGAAAUUUUUACAGUGUCAACAACCUGUUCAAGUAUUAAGAUGUCUGUCUAUUUUGUUUGUACCUUCAAACUCAUGGAGAAAAAAGCCCUAUGAAUUUAAAUGAGAAGAUAACCCUUUGGGAAAUUCAUAUUUACCUUCAAUUACAUGAAACAGCUAGUUCAAGUGUAAAACUUUAUGGAUGUGUAUUAGUGCCUUUUCUGUGUUGUGAUAUAAUGUCUAUGCCAACUUAUAAAAUAGUUUAAUUUGGCCCUUUGUUUCAGAGGGAUAUAAGAUCACCAUGAAAGUGGUAUAAUAACAAGUGUCAGACAUGGCAGCUAAAGCAGGAGUCUAGGAUUUCACAUCCUUAACCUGCAACAUGAAGCAGAGAGUGAGAACUGGAAAUGGUGUGUGGAUGCAAAUUCUCAAAGCCUACCCCAAGUGAUAUAUUUCCUCCAGCAAGGCCGCAUUUAACCCAUUUCCUAAAUCUUUCCAAGUGAUAACACCAACUGAGAAGGAUUGAUUUCUCUAACUUCAAUCUUACAUGUUUGCUUUCUGUUACAUGAACCAAUUCAUGAUGAAGAAAAACUCUGCUACAUAUAUUCAAAGGGCCAAGAAAUGACACAUGGGAACCUCUUAUUCAGUUUACUUCUAAAAUUACUUGGUGAUUACAUUAGAACUUCUGUGUCAUGGAAUAAGUGUGUCUAGCACCAGAAUUAUAUGAAUAUAAGUAUACACCUACAAGCUGUUAGCAUCACACUUUCUACUGUACACAUGUAUGGGAUAUUUUAUAAUGCAUUGACCUAUGAAGAUGUGCAUGUCAACUUCACUCAGGAAGAGUAGGCUUUGCUUGAUCCUUCCCAGAAGAGUCUCUACAAAGAUGUGAUGCUGGAGAUCUACAGGAACCUCAUGCUAUAGUGAGAAGACUAUAAUAUUGAGGAACAUUGUCAAAUUUCUAGAAGACUUAAAAGGUAAUUUUUAUGUGUACAUGGAUACAAAUGUGCCUCUGAAGAAAUUUUAGUGUGUCCUGGAAAAUUUAAAGCAAAGUAACAGUGUAAAUAAAAUAAGCACAGCUUAAUGUGUAUUGAUGAUUAUUAAAUUCCCCCCAAAUCAUGUGCCUCAAUGUCAGGUAGCUGAUAUGUGUUUACAAGGCAUUCCUCUAAGAAAGAAAACAAGGAAACAAUGCCUUUACAGAUAUCACCAUUUGAAUCACAGCUACAUGAGAGAUAUGCUGUAGAACUGACAAUCUGUUUGGUUUUAUACCACUGAAAUAUUGCCAAAAGUAUACAUGUUGAAUAUGUGAUAAGUUUAUGUCCAAAACCUUCUAAUAAGCAAAUAGUCCAUAGCAAAACUGGUGUUACUCAUAUACUUGUGACUUUGCUAAUUUUGGUGAGAAGGGCAGUUUAUACUAGUCAAGAAUGUUGUGAAGAAAUGUUAAUCCCUAUAGCACAUGUCCAUGAGGAACCAAAAGACAAACUGUGAAUUCAAUAUGGAAAAAAAUAUUUUUCAUUUUUUUUAAUUGGUAUUUCAUAUGUCAUUCUAAAUAUAAGCCAUGUGAACAUGGAGAUAUGGAUAUGUUCUCCCAGAACAAUUAAAAGAUAUUUAGCAGUUCCACUUUGACUAGAUUUAUUCAAUGUGAUAUAAAUUUACAAUUAUUUGGUUUUCUGACUUCAUUGAAAAUAUAUCAACAAAUUCACACUGCAGAAAAACCUAUAAGAAUAGCAAUGUAUAAAUACUUCUGUUUGUCCUGGUUUACUUUUCAAAUGUAGCAUGAUUCACAGUAUAGGAAAAUUUAAGAAUGCAGUAUUUGUGGUAAAGCUCUGAGUUCUUCCAGUUCUCUUCAAAUAUGUGAAAAAUGUCAUAGGAAAAAGAUGCUACAAAUGUGAGCCAUGUAAUAAAAGCUCUUACCAUCACAGGUAUCUUCAAAGAUGCAAAACAACCCUAAUGAAGGGGAACACCAUGAGUGUAAACACAGUGAUAAAACCUUAAGAUCUGAUUUCUCUUUACAAUUAGAUCAAAUUAUAAAUUAAUUCAUACAGAUACAAAGAUUCAACAGUGUAAUGAAUGUGGUAAAGCUUUUACAUGUGCCAAUUAUCCUUGCAGCCACAAAAGAAGUCACACUGGAGAAAUUCUAUAAAGGUAUUCAAUAUGAUGAAGGGUUUAUGCCUCCAGUAAGGAAAAAAAAGGAACUUGCAGGCACGAAGACUGACUUGUCUGUAUGGGAUGCUAUUCUGUUUCCCUGGCACCUGCAAAAGCCUCAGUUAGAAGCCUGGUGUGGUGGUGAAUCCAGAUGACAUCAAGGUUGUCAGGAGAUCCUGAGACUUAAACAGAAGUCACUCUAAGGCUGGGGCCAUCAGGCAUUUACAAAGAAAGAGCCAUGGAGUAUGAAAGAACUGUUAGGGAGGGAGCUUUGAGUGUGAAAGCUAAAGGAUCAAAUGGCCAGAGAGCAAUGCUUGGGGUGUACCUGAGGAUAAGCUGGUUCCUACUGUGCUCUUUGUAUCCACUCAGCUGUGGUGGAUCAGGCCCUCCGGGUCUUCCAUGGUUUCCUUUUCUUGGCAUUACAUGUAGCUGACUCUGCAGGCCUCCACUUUGCAGUCCCCACUUGGACCUAAAAGCUCCUCAGUCCCUACCCUGUCAAUCCUUGGAAACUGCCUGCCUGGUAGGAAUAAGGAUAUGCCUAAAAACACAUUUAUAUCUCUCCCGUUUGCUAACAACUUGUGAAACAGUGGACCCCAUGGAAUUCUAGUUUCCCCAAGAAUCUUAUUGAGAAAAGACUGAGUCCUCAGAUUGAGAAUGUCUCUACUAAAGAAACAUUUUCUCCUCAUCUGACCACCUUUCUGGAGAGACAGGAGCUGAGAAUGGGAGAGGUUUUUACAGAUGGAAAAAAAUUGAUUAUAUGGCUUCAUUAGAUUAAUUAGUUUUGCAUAUCUUUUGCCUUCUAUCAAAACCUGUUAGGGCCCCAAGAUUGGAUUAGUUACCUUAUAUCUUCACCACUGUUCCAAAUUAGUCAAACUAAAUAAAUAUCAUGUUUUCAUUAAUAAUUUUCUUUCUCCCUUUUCUAUUGUUUUCUUUUUUUAAAGCAUAACUUUACUGUGAAUCUAUUUGUGGCCUGGAAUUCACUCUAUAGACUAGACUGUCCUAGGACAUCAGAGAGGUCUGCCUACCAUGCCUCCAGAGGUCUCACACUAUAGGUAGCCAGAUCAUAACUGUAUAACUCGGUUCUUUUAAUUGACUUACUGAGGAUGUGUGGGUGAACCUGGCUGGUUAGGGUAGCAAGGACACAGACACUUGUCUAACUCCAGUAACAGAAGAAGGUUCCCAUCAAAUGCAGGCCUCCUGCAUAUAAGUCUACUGUCUUUCAACUAUGAACAAUAUUGUUUUUCAUUAUCAUUGAGUCUGUUAUAACUCAUCAAAGGACCUGAGCAUAGUUCUGUCCUUGUUUUCCAGUUGUUGAAACCCAGGCCCACCUAGAUAAGUAGUUUUUAAAUAUAGUUAUGUGUAACUGCUUAUCUUACUCAUCCUGUCUUUCUAAUGCCUCACUAAUGAAGUUGAAGACAACUAAGCCAUACAUGGUGGCACGGCCUAUAAUCAUGAUACUUAGAAUUUGUAGGCAACAAUUUUAGGAUUUCAAUUUCAUCCAAGAUGAGAAUUGCAAUGGGGUAUGUUGGGAGGACUAUGGAACUAAGGAAGAAUGUGAUUGGCUCAAAACAGUGUACAUAGUCUUCCCUGCAGCUCCAGAAUUUCAGAACCAUAGCACCAGCAAUUAUUACCUGAGGUAUUUACCACCUCAAGUUUUCUGUUCUUGAUAAUGUUUCCUGUCCAAGGUCAACUUUGGGGUCAACUCCUGUUGCUCAUUAAAGAGUGGAAUUCUCCUACAUAAGAGAAUUAGCCUCAAGCAGAGAUGAGCUUCCUAGUUGCAUAUCCAAUGCAAUAUCAUCCCUGAAAUCCUAUAGACACAACCAACAGAAAUGGACUCAGCAGUUUUUAUUCAUAUAUUUGUGCAUAUAUAUUCACACAUACUUAACAAGAAAGAAAUUGGAAGGGAAGAAUUUGAAAAGGGAUUGAGAGAGGACAAAGAUGGUAGAAAGUAAUGUAAUAUAUUUUAAGUAAAAUGUAUCAAAUAAAUUUUAAAUGAAAAUGUGGCUAGAGAGAUAGCUUAGCAGUCAACAGCACUGGGUGUAAUUAUAGAGGACACGUUUCAUUCCCAGAAACCACCUGGUAGCUAUCGCCAUUAACUCCAGUCCCCAGGGAUCUGGUGCCCUCUUCUGGCCUCUACAGGUACUGUGCACAGAUGCUUGAAGGCAAAUACUCAUAUACAUAAAACAAAAAUAAAGCUUAAAAAAAAAAAACUCCAUCAUGAUGUCACAGCCCUGAGAGACAGCAGGGUAGAUAAAAUGAACUCCUUCUGAUCCUUCAUGGAACCAACUGUCUGCUUUCUCUGAGACAGCAUGCUCAGGGGCAAAAAUAGCCUUAUUCUGUCUCAGGUUUGAAUAUCUCAGCAGGACUGUUCAUCUAAGAACAGCAUCCACAGUGACUUUUCCCUGAUAUUUUCUGUAUUUGUGUUCUUAGCCUUUUGUAUGUAUGAGAAUGAAAGACAAUGAUAUAUCUCCUAAAAGUAUUGAUACAACUUUUAAAUGUAGAACCUAGUGUAUCAUCUAAAAGAUGGAUUUUUCUCUGUAAAUCUUAUCUAAGUGGCUAUACUUGUGGUCUCCUGUCCCUAUUUAAAUUGUUCAAAGAAUAUCCCUUGGACCUGAUCCUAAAAGAAACUUAAGAAUGACAUCAUAUAUGUAAUGUUGGAUGCAUGCUGUUAUUAAACAGAUUUUUGUUUAUUAAUCUCAA
Molecule: non-coding RNA, 6271 nt
Organism: Peromyscus maniculatus bairdii (prairie deer mouse)
Lineage: Eukaryota; Metazoa; Chordata; Mammalia; Rodentia; Cricetidae
Source: RefSeq, a predicted model, not a curated record